UUCCGGUUGAUCCCGCCGGACCUGACUGCUAUCGGAUUGAUACUAAGCCAUGCGAGUCAUUGUAGCAAUACAAGGCAGACGGCUCAGUAACGCGUAGUCAAUCUACCCUAUGGACGGGAAUAACCUCGGGAAACUGAGAAUAAUGCCCGAUAGAACAUUAUGCCUGGAAUGGUUUAUGUUUCAAAUGAUUUAUCGCCAUAGGAUGGGACUGCGGCCUAUCAGUUUGUUGGUGAGGUAAUGGCCCACCAAGACUAUUACAGGUACGGGCUCUGAGAGGAGUAGCCCGGAGAUGGGUACUGAGACACGGACCCAGGCCCUAUGGGGCGCAGCAGGCGAGAAAACUUUGCAAUGUGCGAAAGCACGACAAGGUUAAUCCGAGUGGUUUCUGCUAAAGAAACCUUUUGUCAGUCCUAGAAACACUAACGAAUAAGGGGUGGGCAAGUUCUGGUGUCAGCCGCCGCGGUAAAACCAGCACCUCAAGUGGUCAGGAUGAUUAUUGGGCCUAAAGCAUCCGUAGCUCGUUUUGUAAGUUUUCGGUUAAAUCCAUGCGCUUAACGUAUGGGCUGCCGGGAAUACUGCAUAACUAGGAAGUGGGAGAGGUAGACGGUACUCGGGAGGAAGGGGUAAAAUCCUUUGAUCUCUUGAUGACCACCUGUGGCGAAGGCGGUCUACCAGAACACGUUCGACGGUGAGGGAUGAAAGCUGGGGGAGCAAACCGGAUUAGAUACCCGGGUAGUCCCAGCUGUAAACUAUGCAAACUCAGUGAUGCAUUGGCUUAUGGCCAAUGCAGUGCUGCAGGGAAGCCGUUAAGUUUGCCGCCUGGGAAGUACGUACGCAAGUAUGAAACUUAAAGGAAUUGGCGGGGGAG
This 868-nucleotide ribosomal RNA is filed under the name uncultured archaeon. Its description in RNAcentral is "bacterial SSU rRNA". It matches the Rfam family "Archaeal small subunit ribosomal RNA", at positions 1 to 876 of the family's 1478-position model. The record is from RNAcentral.